This 2674-nucleotide long non-coding RNA is filed under the name Equus caballus (horse). RNAcentral describes it as "lncRNA (ENSECAG00000053166.1)". Lineage: Eukaryota; Metazoa; Chordata; Mammalia; Perissodactyla; Equidae. The record is from RNAcentral.
CAGCAAAAUAGGGACUCAGGCAAACUGGGUCCUAGAACUGACUGAUCACAGCCGGCAGUGUGACCUCACUGUCCUCAGUGAUCUCGUCCAUAGCAGCUGAGGAUGAGGGUUUCGGACUCAGGUGGUGGUGAGUUAGAAGAAAGGAAGCCUCGGAGGCUAGCUGAAAUAAAAGUAGAUUUGCUGUAAGGAUAUGGCGGGGAGUCUCACUAAAGACGGGAAGCAAAGUCUCACCAGGCUACAUGGCCCUGGAACCAGAAAGUUCUCUCAGCCUCUCCUGGGUCCUCAAGGCCCCUGGCCCUGCCUCUCGGUGAGUGUGAUCCGGUUUUACUGUCCCCUCCACAGCCCCGCUGUCUGUGCUCACUCAGGGCUUCUCUGCUCCAGGUACAUUGUAGCUUUGCUCUGCUUUGGGACCCGGCUCCAGCAGUGCCUUUCUCUGAUCUUUCCUGGUGAUACACCCCUCUUCGUCUUCCUGCUUCAGGCUGUGUUCACCUUGGUUCAAGAGGAGGUGUGUGUGGGGUGAGUGGCCACGUGGUACAAACUCAACAGCCAGAGCUGUGGGUGGAGACAGAGUCUCCGAGGGUGUGAGGUGGGAGCCGGUGAUUGGCCAGUCCGCCACUCUUGGAUCUUGAGAGGGUCUUGGUUACAGGUUCCAUAAUUCUACCACCUUUGUUGUUUCUGUUACGGUUACCAACUUGAGAGAGCGUGCCUCGAAAGGCAUUGAGAUUGAAUUCCAGCCUGACAGCAACGAGGUGUUUUUCAGAGAUUGCAAGCCCCUUUUGGCAGGGUGAAAGCGCAGCUUAAGCUGCAGGCCGCAGAGCGAGCUGUUUGUUGUUGUUCCUCCACUAACGCUGACUGUACACAAGAGGCUGCCUUCACCUUGGGGCCAGCAGACUUGGAGGGAGCCAUGCAGAUUAGCGAACGCACCUGACGAAAACAGGAUGUAUUUUAUUACAAAGGGCAGUUUUGAGAGUGCUGGAACUUGGUCUUCUGCAAAGGCUCUCUUGUCGUGGGUUUCUACCCAAAUCGGUAUUUUCCAGGCGUUCCAGGACUGCGGCUGAGAGGGGCUGGAGCCAGUCCACAGCCCAGAGCAGGAUCACCUGUUCCCCAUUGCACAGUCUCAGACACAUACUCCAACUGGCCCCUCUCCAAGCCCCGCAGCUUCUGAAAACACAUGGAUUUCAUGGUGAAGGAAAUAUCUCCACCUAAAGCCUUUCUAGGCACCCUUCCCCCCAAGGCGUUUUGCUAAUGUGUACCAGAAUGUUCUUGAAAGGAGAAAAAAGGAAAAAGAGAAAGAAAUGCUUUGUGAGGAGAAGGCUCUGCCUUCCGGCCCUUCUAACACAACUGCCUCCUAUUAAUCUGCGACCUAGUUAAGAGAACCGGAAAUAAUGUCUCGCAUGUGGAGCUUUCUGUGACCACAGCUGUCGUCCAUGUGAACACUCACUGUGUGCCGGGAUCUGUGCUACAUCCUUUUUAGGGAGACGCUCAUUUGCUCGGCACUACAACCCGACUGGGCGGGGAUCAUUUUUAUGAAUGUUACAGAGAUUGCAAAAGCUGAGGCUUAAAGACUUGAAGUCACUGGCCCAGAAUCACCAGCCAAUAAGUGGUGGAGCCAGAAUUUGAAUCCUAAGUAGUCCGACUCCAGAGACCUCACUGAAUUAAAUUACACUGAUUUAAUUCAUGUGAAGUAUCUAGAAGACACGAAUUUUUACUUGUAUUUUACAGAUGAGAAAACUGGAGUUUAGAGUGGUUAAUUGAUUGGCCCAAGCUUGCAGCUGUUACGUGAUUGAGUCGAGAACCAGACCUGGUGUACUGGACCCUCAGGCCAUUGUUCUGUCCACUAAACACACGUUUGUGAGCCUCUCCGUUCCCCGAGGCCACUUUGCAAACCAAGGGAAAGUGAAUUGACACAGCAAGAGCAGUUUAGGGGCAGUUGGUCAUCCUAACCAACCUUUUACUUUUAGGAAGCCUCCAGGGUCUGAUAGAUCUUUGCUUACAUUCUCUGCCUCUCCCUGCAGACUCUCAAAUGGCACUUGACACGAAUUAGAUAAGUUCAGUUACUGAAGGGGAGGAAAAUACUAUAAAACAUAAGGUUUGCUUACAUGCUCUCUGGUACCCAUAGGAACCGCCAACCAACAGAUGUUGUGGGUCCAGAUGAAAGAACGGAGAACAUGUGAUGAUGAAUUUACUAGCGUUUUCUGGAAUGCUCCCAGGUUCUUCCCCUCAAGCAUUUGUUUUUUCUCUCACGAAGAAGCAACUCCAAUGAUCUAAACUCUGUAAUUUAGGACAGGAGCGUCUCUUCACACUCCAUGAAGUUCUUGCAAAUUUAAGUUAUGACUCAAUCUUCUCUCCAAACCAAAAUGUGAUGCCAAAUUUGGACUGAGAAAAAACCUAUAAAUAUACAUAAAUUUAAUUUUUAUCCUAGAAUGUUAACUUUUAUCUGUGUGACUGUUAGAAGAAAAGAAUGGUUAUAAUCAUCUGACAAUGAACAUGACUCUCAGUCAGGGAGCUGGUCAACUGACAAUUAUGGAAAACGUGUUCAAUAAGUUUUAAAGAUACCCUAAGGUGAUAACAUUUGAAAUGAGCAAUUACUUUGGCAAAUGUGAAUAAUCCAUGCUUAUUUUUUUUAAUUAUUUUUCUUUUAUUUAUUUACUGAUUUUAAAAAUUGAGAUAUAAU